GUUUUUUCCAGUCUUUGAAAAGCAUCCUUACCAAUCCCCUGUAUGUUAUAUUUCUGCUUUUGACAUUGUUACAAGUAAGCAGCUUUAUUGGUUCUUUUACUUACGUCUUUAAAUAUAUGGAGCAACAGUAUGGUCAGUCUGCAUCUCAUGCUAACUUUUUGUUGGGAAUCGUAACCAUUCCUACGGUUGCAACUGGAAUGUUUUUAGGAGGAUUUAUCAUUAAAAAAUUCAAAUUGCCUUUAGUUGGAAUUGCCAAAUUUUCAUUUCUUACUUCGAUGAUAUCCUUCUUGUUUCAACUUCUAUAUUUCCCUCUAAUCUGUGAAAGCAAAUCAGUUGCCGGCCUAACCUUGACCUAUGAUGGAAAUAAUUCAGUGGCAUCUCAUGUAGAUGUACCACUUUCUUAUUGCAACUCAGAGUGCAAUUGUGAUGAAAGUCAGUGGGAACCAGUCUGUGGGAACAAUGGAAUAACUUACCUGUCACCUUGUCUAGCAGGAUGCAAAUCCUCAAGUGGUAUUAAAAAGCAUACUGUGUUUUAUAACUGUAGUUGUGUGGAAGUAACUGGUCUCCAGAACAGAAAUUAUUCAGCGCACUUGGGUGAAUGCCCAAGAGAUAAUACUUGUACAAGGAAAUUUUUCAUCUAUGUUGCAAUUCAAAUCAUAAACUCUUUGUUCUCUGCAACAGGAGGUACCACAUUUAUCUUGUUGACUGUGAAUGGGCUUCAAAUAUUUUAAUACUGCAGCACCAAAUUCUUAGCUCUGACCACAGUGAGUACUGCUUCCCUGGUGUAUCUCUACACACUGGAUGAGAUGAUGAUAAAGCCUAGGGAUUGGGGAGCCACCAGUUGGAAAAAGACAAGAUCUCGGAAUGACUGCAUGGAGGAGAGCUGCCCACUUGCCCAGGAACUUUUAUGAGAGCAAGAAACCAACUUCUGUCUCACAAGAACCUUACAAUGUAGGAUGUUUUUAAUCUUUA
Molecule: long non-coding RNA, 972 nt
Filed under: Pan troglodytes (chimpanzee)
Lineage: Eukaryota; Metazoa; Chordata; Mammalia; Primates; Hominidae
Description: long non-coding RNA NONPTRT003396
Source: RNAcentral